CUCCCUGGAUGGCUUGCAAAUCAUUUUCUAUCCUGCUUUUGCUUCUUCAGUCAAUUUUGCAGUUUGGUGUUUUGAAAGCUCAACAAGCAUAUGUGGACAACCAUCAACUGGACUGUAACAAUUGGACUCCUAGCACCAAAGGCUAUUUGUGUAAUGGCGUACAAUCAUCCUGCCAAUCAUACAUCACUUUCCGAUCAAACCCUCCUUAUAACUCUCCUGCCAAUAUCGGCUAUCUGCUGGGCACUCAAGAGGAAGCAACCCGCAUUGCCUCCAUGAACAAGAUCCCUUCCGAUGUGGCCACAAUACCUGCCCACAAGCAAGUGGUAGUCCCUGUCAAUUGCUCUUGUCAUAAACGCCUUUAUUACCAGCACAAUGCCUCUUACCGGCUCAAAUAUAAGAAUGAGACCUAUUUUACCUUGGC
This 421-nucleotide unclassified non-coding RNA is filed under the name Hevea brasiliensis (rubber tree). Lineage: Eukaryota; Viridiplantae; Streptophyta; Magnoliopsida; Malpighiales; Euphorbiaceae. The record is from RNAcentral.